GGCCCAGCCGGGGAGAAGGGAGGGUGGGGUUGAAGCCAGAAAGGAGAGAGAAAGGAUGAAGCAUGAAAUGAAAUGAGCAGUAUGAGAGGAGGAGCGAGGUGUGGGUGGGGAGUGGCUGAGCCGUGGGCACGGUCUGAUCGCAUCCGCAGUGGUAACACAGCCCAUCACCGCCAUAACGCAAAGGCAGCCUUAUCCACGCGCUCCAUCAUCUGCAAAUUCCCUCAUCGAAUCUUUACCCUCACGCCAGCAUGAUUAGUAGCUCUCAUUAGUUUUACACAUAUAAUAUGAGGCUGGGUCAUUUGUUCGGUUGUCCCAGCUGGUAGGUGACAGAACCAGCCUGUUAUCUGAUCCCAGAGCCCCAUCACUGGAUGGAGCUAGUUCUCUUCUGUGACCAGCCCUCAGCCAGUAGGAUUUCCAGGUAAGCCUGCAUUAGCCUUUCAGUGUGGCUUUGCCCUGUACACACACACACACACACACACACACACACACACACACACACACACACACACACACAGUGCCUUUGAGGUCAAGGGCAACUCAGGUUUUUGGUCUAUUGGGAUCCUGCAUCUUUAUCUUAGAACAGCUCUGCCUGGAACAAGAGUCCAAUGGAUGAAAGGCAGAGUAAACUCAGGUCUUCACACAGUCUGAUGUCUCUCCCAAGCCCUGGUAUGGGUGCUCAGGUAAUCUCUACUGCUGAGCAGAAAGUCUUAGGGGUGAGUUACUGUUUUAAUUAAGACAUGGCCUUUCUGUGCUGGGGAUGUCGCUUAUCUAGUAGAGCGUUUGCCUAGUAUUCAUGAAAGCCUUGGGUUUGAUCUUCAGAAGAUCAUGAAUGGGGCACUGUAAUACACACCCGAGAUCUCAGCUUUAAGGAGGUAGAGGCAGGAAGGUCAAAGUUCAAGUCCAUUCUUAGCUACACAGGAGUUCACUGCCAGCCUGAGCUACAUGAGACCUUAUCCUUUAAAGAAUAUUUUAAUGCAUUUUUAUUUUUUAACAGAUAUGACUUUUUUGCCCCUGUGUGCAUAUGUCUGUGCAAUACAUAUGCCUGGUGCCCUUGGAGGCCUCAAGAAGGUAUAGCAUCCCUUGGACUUAGAGGACAGUUAUGAGCUGUCAUGUGGGUGCUGGGAAUCAAAUUUGAGUCCUUAGCCAGGGUGGGUGUGGCUGUUCACACCUUUAAUCCUAGGCAGAGGCAGGCAGAUCUCUGAUUUUGAGGCCAGUCUGGUCUACAGAGUGAGUUCCAGGACAGCCAGGGCUACACAGAGAAACCCUGUCUCAAACAAGCAAACCAGUCCUCUGAAGGGCCACAAGUCCCCCUAAUGGCUGAACCACCUCUCCAGCCCCCAUAACAAAACAAACAGCAGAGAGCAGGGGUGUUUAUGUGUUGACCUGGUCUCCUGGGCUCAAGCAAUCUUUCUCCCUGGUAGCUGGAACUACAGGCAGAAGCCAUUAUGUCUGGCUCAUGGUAUGAAUUAUUAACUGUCAGACAUGACUGCCAUGGCACCAAUCAUACCAAUAGAUAUAAAGAUGCCAUAUAUAUAUAUAUAUAUAUAUAUAUAUAUAUAUAUAUAUUUUUUUUUUUUUUUUUUUUUUUUGACAGGUUUCUCUGUGUAACAGAGCCCUAGCUGUCCUGGACUUGCUUUGUAAACCAGGCUGACCUUGAACUCACAGAGCCCUGUCUACCUCUGUCUCCUAGUGCAGGAAUCAAAGGCAUGUGUCACCAUGCCCGGUGGAUGUCCUCUAUCUUAUUCUAUUAAAAAUAAAGCAGGUUAGGGCUGGAGUGAUGGCUCAGAUAGCUCAGUGGUUAGGAACACUGGUUGCUCUUGCAGAGGACCUGCAUUUAGUUCCUAGCACCUGCAUGGAAGCUCUCAAUCAUCAGAAACUCCAGUUCUAGGGUAUCUUGACACCAUCUUCUAUGGACAUUAGGCCUACACAAAAUGCAGGCAAAAGACUCACAGAUAAAAUACAAUAAGUGGCCGGGCGUGGUGGUGCACGCCUUUAAUCCCAGCAUUAGGGAGGCAGAGGCAGGAGGAUUUCUGAGUUCGAGGCCAGCCUGGUCUACAAAGUGAGUUCCAGGACAGCCAGGGCUAUACAGAGAAACUCUGUCUCGAAAAACCAAAAAAACAAAACAAAACAAAACAAAACAAAACAAAACCAAUAAAUGCAGCAAGGCAGGGGCUGACUGGUCAGGUGAUGCCAGCGGCAAGUGCUUGCUGCACACACAAGAGCACCCGUGCCUUCCCUAGGGUCCCUGUGAAGGACCUGGAGUGUCGGUUAACACUUGGAAUUUCAGUGCUUGCACCUGGACACAGGGGGACCCCUUGGGCUUGCUGGCUUAAUUUAGUCGGCGGGCUCCAAGUCCCUCAGAGA
RNAcentral lists this long non-coding RNA (2364 nucleotides) under Mus musculus (house mouse). Its description in RNAcentral is "long non-coding RNA chr12:86919384-86921748". Lineage: Eukaryota; Metazoa; Chordata; Mammalia; Rodentia; Muridae. The record is from RNAcentral.